RNAcentral lists this ribosomal RNA (255 nucleotides) under uncultured bacterium. RNAcentral describes it as "partial 16S ribosomal RNA". It matches the Rfam family "Bacterial small subunit ribosomal RNA", at positions 524 to 776 of the family's 1533-position model. The record is from RNAcentral.
UACGUAGGGGGCAAGCGUUGUCCGGAUUUAUUGGGCGUAAAGAGCGUGUAGGCGGCUAGACAGGUCCGCUGUGAAAACUCGAGGCUCAACCUCGAGACGUCGGUGGAAACCGUCUGGCUAGAGUCCGGAAGAGGAGAGUGGAAUUCCCGGUGUAGCGGUGAAAUGCGCAGAUAUCAGGAGGAACACCGGUGGCGAAGGCGGGUCUCUGGGCCGAUACUGACGCUGGAGGAAGCGAAAGCGUGGGGAGCGAACAGG